This 948-nucleotide unclassified non-coding RNA is filed under the name Hevea brasiliensis (rubber tree). Lineage: Eukaryota; Viridiplantae; Streptophyta; Magnoliopsida; Malpighiales; Euphorbiaceae. The record is from RNAcentral.
GUAAGACUUCUCAUGUAAUUUAAAGAGCAUAAAUUACAUCUUCUGACUGAAAAAUAACCCUUCUCUCUUGUAGAAUGUGUAUCCAUGGAGUGAUACACCAUCCUCCCACCCUGCAAUGUGAACCUUCAUGAGCAGUAAAAGACCGGUCUUCACCUUGAAAAGGCUCUCGUUUUUUACCUUUUUUUUUUAAUAGAAUUAAGUAUAUUUUCAUUUCUCAGGGAGAAUGAAUGGAGUUUAGAUUCAGAACAAACAUGAGGUAUCAUGGUUGCGCAAUCCCCUUUUUCACAAGAACAUCAUAAACUCGGUCAAUUUUGCUGGCUUCAAGCUUGAAUAAGGGAUGAGCAUCAGAUUUCUUAGUGACAUUGCCACUGAAGAUUUCUUUUGUCAUAACCUCCUGCAUCUUAAGAUAGAGAGGUGGGGGCAACUUUAUCUCAUGACAGAGGCGUUUCUCAGCUUCAGAUAGUAAUUGUGUUUCAUAAAAGCCCAGUGCAUCCAUAUCAUUAACAUAGUGUCCAGCAGGUCUCGUAGUUGAAUCCUUGCCGACAGACUCUGAAGCCAUGAAAACGCUUGGACCUCCCUGGUUGCUUGGACCAACCUGGACACUUUCUUUUGCUCUGUGAGAACUUUCUUCAGCUUCCCUUUUCCUUUUCUCUUCAAGAUAUUUAUCCGCCUCGGCAGANNNUGUACGACAACCAGCAGCUCGGGCUUCCUUAAGUUCUUGAAUCCUUUUCAGAGUUCUAUGCUCUGCUAUAACAGUCUGAAGCAAAUCUUCAUGUUCUUCCUUGGAAUGAAAACGCAUGAAGACAUCAUAACGUCGGCAUAGCGCCCUCUCCUCUGGAGAUAAAUCCUUCUCAAAACGAUUUGGAUAUAGCAAAUUUCUUUCUAAAAUAAAAUCUUUUCUGCGUUUUCUUUCAUCAAGCCUCUUUGAAUAGAUACGUAGAACUCGCA